Molecule: unclassified non-coding RNA, 3209 nt
Filed under: Megachile rotundata (alfalfa leafcutting bee)
Lineage: Eukaryota; Metazoa; Arthropoda; Insecta; Hymenoptera; Megachilidae
Description: transcription factor Sox-2, transcript variant X1
Source: RNAcentral
UAUUGGUCGAGAGAAAUGAUGGCAGGCUUGCGUGCCAAUCGAUUGCCGUUGGUAGGCUUGGGUCUGGUCGGUCGGUCCGUUGGGUAUGGUUGCUGGUCGAGGGAAUGGUAGGGUGGCGAACGCGUGGAGGAGGGGCGGCGAGCGUAGAGAGAGCGAAACAGAGAGAGGGGGGCAGCCGCCUCGGCAGGAAGUGAGCCCCGAGAGUGGGACCCCAAGGCGAAAUCCACAAAUGCUCAGACGGUUCCGUUCUUCCGUGGAGAGUGGAGGUCGCUGCUACUCGUUCUUAUUCUUAUUCUUCGUUGUCGUCGUCGUUGUCGCCGCUGUCCGCAUCGACGACCACGAGAGAAAUCACGGCGAUCAAAAGUAGACACCGCGUGUUCACGCGCAACGGUACACGCGACACGCGUGCAGACCAUCGGUUGGAACGAGGAGUCAUCGUCGUCGUUGUUAUCGUCGAGACAGUGAUCGAAGAGAUCGUCGCCGACGUGCCGGUGUCGAAGAGCUACGCGCGUUCGCGGAUCGCUCGCUCGAUCGGUUAGUGUUGCCGUUUCAAGCUACGAACAGCCGGACGGUUCUGUUUUUUCCGUGUCGGAGUUUUCUCGAGCUCGAGGGAAUCUUUGCAUCGUCGCGAUCCGAUUCGUCGAGCGUAUCGCGAGCCUGCAGCCAGUCACGAGCGAGCUGUCGGGCUACCAAGAGAGACGGAGCAAACAGGAGAAACAAGGAGAAACCGGGAGGACGCGCAGCGUGCCAGGGGAAGAAAGUGACAGUGCGUCAGUACUCCGGUCGGGCUCUGGCGUGAAUCACGGAUCGUCGUCGAAGCUGUCGCAACAGGAGAGGAGAAGAGAGAAGAAGUAGCGUGCACGAGGAGAGUACGCGGGGGGAUGAAAACUGUGUUGAUAUGAGUAGCGUCGAGUGUACGGUGAUCAGACGGAGCCACGGUGACUUUUCGUGAUUAUCAAACAUCGAACGACGACGUUAGUGUUAACCAGAGGCUCGUCUACGAGAGACUGAAUAGCGGCAGUUGGAUAGUAAUGCUGGAACGCGAAUUCUAUCGUAGACGAACGGUGCGCGGUGAUCCCGUGCUCGAUUGAGGAGUCUUUUAUCGCGUCGGUACGCGUUCGAGUGUAUCGAGUUGGUGGUAGAAAGGAUUUACAACCCGGUGACUUUUCUCGUGUUCUCGACGAAAAGAUAACGAACGAGAAACCGAGGAGAGAACGAACAUUGGCCAGGAGUGACUGUUACGGGAAUAGUGAGACAGUGACGGUGGUGUUGACGAUCCGUACAUGAUCGAGAAAGGAUCGAAAAGCGACUUCCAUGUCAGACUCUUGGAGAGAAACGAGGAGACUCGUCGUCGAGUAGCGUUCACCGGUUCGUCGUGAACACGGUGUAACAUCGGUGACGUCGUCACCAACGAGGCUCGACGAGGCAAGCGGUACACAGGGUGCGCGAGUUCUCGGCGAUUCGUCGAAUUUCUUGACGUCGAGAAGUACCAGGAAAGGGCGGCAAACUGUACGGGCACCGGGAAGAAGAGAUGCUCACGAUGGAGUCGGACCUGAAGGGCGGCAGCCUGCACGGUCAAAUGCCACCGCACCCUCACCAGGGUGUAUCGCCGAUGGGCCACCACACGGGUGUCUCCCCGUACGGUAGCCUCGGCUCGAUAGUGCACAGUCCGGCCUUGUCCGGAAGUCCUCCGAGUACCGGAGGUCUCGGUCUCGGUCUCCAGCAUCAUCAUCAAACGCCUCAGCACCAUUACGCCUCGAUGCAGGCAGCGCAACAGCAGCAACAGCAGCAGCAACAACAACAAAGCAUGCACUCGCUGGCGCAACAAGCUGGUAGCCAACAGCAACAACAACAUCACCCCCAUCAGCAACAACAGCAACAGGCCCAGCCGCAACAACAUCAUCAGGCACCCAACAACAACAACAAUACCAGCAAGAACAAUAACAUCGACCGCGUGAAGAGGCCGAUGAACGCGUUCAUGGUAUGGUCCCGCGGACAACGGCGCAAGAUGGCGCAGGAGAACCCGAAGAUGCACAAUUCGGAGAUCUCGAAACGGUUGGGAGCCGAGUGGAAAUUGCUCAGCGAAACCGAGAAACGUCCGUUCAUCGACGAGGCGAAACGACUGCGCGCCGUGCACAUGAAAGAGCAUCCCGAUUACAAGUACAGGCCGCGACGCAAGACCAAAACGUUGUUGAAGAAGGACAAGUUCCCUCUGGGUGGCGGAGUAGCAGGUGUCGGUGGAAUGCUGGGCGUCGAUCAACGGCAAGUCGGUGGUACCGGUGGACCGCAGCAGGCUCAAUUGUCGCGCGACGUUUAUCAGAUGCCGAACGGUUACAUGCCCAAUGGCUACAUGAUGCACGAUCCGACGGCCGCGUAUCAACAACACGUCGCGUACGGCGGACACANNNNNNNNNNNNNNNNNNNNCACAUGGGUGGCGCGGCAGCCGCGGCCGCGGCCUCAGCGGCCGCUUACCCCAGGUACGACAUGGGACACCACAUGGGCGGCGGUAGUCCAAGCCCCAUCAACAGUUACAUGAACGGUUACGGUGGUUACGGUAGCACCACCGUGCCCGGUGGUUCGCCGUCGCCUUAUCACCAAGCUCAACCCGGCUCUCAGAUGUCGAGUCACAGUCCCAGCGGUAGCAGCAUAAAAUCGGAGCCGACGAGUCCGGCGAGCGGCGGUAUUCACACGCCGACGCCAACGGGAGCGUCGUCGACGGGCGGGGCCGGUAGCCAGGUGGUGAAACGAGAAUAUAUGGGCCAACAGCAGACGCAGCAAACGCAGGGUGACCUCAGGCAGAUGAUCUCGAUGUAUCUACCACAAGGAGUCGACCAGGGAGUCGUGCAACACGGAGCCGGCGUCUACUCGCCUGGACCGUCGCCGGAUCCGCUCGCGCAGCAUCACUCUGCCAUUCCGCCGCUCACUCAUAUGUCGGAGAGCGAUCGCAAAAUGUUGAAUCCAGACACAGGCUGUUACUCGGAAUCGGUCCGGGCAUGGGAUUGGAACGCGACGAGCAACGUACGCGUACAAGAAUCCUGGCCAACGUGAGCGUCCUUCGGCACGGCGAACUCGAACCUCUUCAGCACCGAAGGAUCAGGAUCCUUGAUUGUCUCGCGUCUGACGAACGGGAACACCGUGCACCGAAGCGCUACGCGAAGCUGCCCCAGCCCAGAACCAGUUAUGAACAUAUGAUUAAGCUCGUUUUAAU